GUGCCUGUGGGAUGAACAGGUCCCAACAUUUACUUCCAUUUUUUCACUUUGUCAGCUAAUAGCCAUACAUUUUAGCUGAUCAUUAAGAAUGGAAAAUGC
This 99-nucleotide small nucleolar RNA is filed under the name Setaria italica (foxtail millet). RNAcentral's name for it is "Small nucleolar RNA snoR99". It matches the Rfam family "Small nucleolar RNA snoR99". RNAcentral also lists the same sequence under 1 other name. The record is from Rfam by way of RNAcentral. Lineage: Eukaryota; Viridiplantae; Streptophyta; Magnoliopsida; Poales; Poaceae.